Molecule: long non-coding RNA, 284 nt
Filed under: Gossypium barbadense (sea-island cotton)
Lineage: Eukaryota; Viridiplantae; Streptophyta; Magnoliopsida; Malvales; Malvaceae
Description: long non-coding RNA (GBAR_LNC023241)
Source: RNAcentral
CUCCUUUCAAAUAAAUUGAAAUGAUUGAAGUUUUUCUAUUUGGAAUCGUCUUAGGUCUAAUUCCUAUUACUUUGGCUGGAUUAUUCGUAACCGCAUAUUUACAAUACAGACGUGGUGAUCAGUUGGACCUUUGAUUAAUUAACAUACCUUUUUUGGAUUAAUUAACAUACCUUUUUUUGACUGACCCCUUUAAUUCUUAAAUUUUUGAAUUUCAAUUUAUUUAAUAAUUUUAAUUUUAUAAUUUAAUCCAAGGAGGUCAAAUUCGAAUUGCUGUUCAAUUUUUU